UACGUAGGUGGCAAGCGUUGUCCGGAUUUACUGGGUGUAAAGGGCGUGUAGCCGGGCUGACAAGUCAGAUGUGAAAUCCGGGGGCUCAACCCCCGAACUGCAUUUGAAACUGUUGGUCUUGAGUAUCGGAGAGGCAGGCGGAAUUCCUAGUGUAGCGGUGAAAUGCGUAGAUAUCACACAGAACACCGAUUGCGAAGGCAUCUCACGAAUCCGCGAUUGACGCUGAUGCACGAAAGCGUGGGUAUCAAACAGG
RNAcentral lists this ribosomal RNA (253 nucleotides) under uncultured Eubacteriales bacterium. RNAcentral's name for it is "uncultured Clostridiales bacterium partial 16S ribosomal RNA". It matches the Rfam family "Bacterial small subunit ribosomal RNA", at positions 524 to 776 of the family's 1533-position model. Lineage: Bacteria; Bacillati; Bacillota; Clostridia; Eubacteriales. The record is from RNAcentral.